Panthera uncia (snow leopard) is the source of this 1394-nucleotide long non-coding RNA. RefSeq lists it as uncharacterized. The record is from RefSeq and is a predicted model, not a curated record. Lineage: Eukaryota; Metazoa; Chordata; Mammalia; Carnivora; Felidae. The transcript has 2 exons.
CACAUACUCCGUUCUCCUGUGGACUACUGUAGGAAUCUCUGUACACAGGUCCACAUGUUUCCCCACAGACUUAGCUUUCUGCACAGAAUACUCAGCAAUCUUUUAAAAAAUAUAAAUUGCAUCAUAUCAUUCCAUUCCCCAGCUUAAAACACUCCAAAGCUUGGGGUGCCUAGAUGGCUCAGUCAGUUGAGCGUCCGACUUUGGCUCAGGUCAUGAUCUCGCAGUUCGUGAGUUUGAGCCCUGCUUCAGGCCUGCACUGACAGCUCAGACCCUGGAGCCUGCUUCAGAUUCUGUGUCUCCCUCGCUCUCUGCCCUUCCUCUGCUUGUACUCUGUCUCUCUCUCAAAAAUAAGUAAACAUUAAAAAAUAAAAAUACACUCCAAAACUUAUAGUUACGUUUUUAAAAUUCAUUCACGUGGUUGCAUAUUAUCAUCGUUCACUUGUUUGUAUUUCUAUAUAAUAUUCCACUGUGUGCCUGUACCAUAGGUAAGUUAUCCAUUCCACUUGGAAAAGGGAAUGCGGGUUGUUUCCAGUUUGUAUCUGUCCCCAGGUACACGUCUGCGUAUAUUUCUGUAGGGUAUAGACCUAUGACUGUAGUUGCUGGGUUGUAUAUUAUGCAGACACAACAGAAUUAAUCAAAGCCAGGGAACAGUAAACUAGGAUUAUAAAAUUAGUGAGGCUAUUAAAAAAAAAAAAAAGGAAGGGAAAGAAUGUUAUAAAGUGAUUACCAUGAGAGAGGGAGGAGAAGGCUGCGAUUGGGAUAGGAUAUAUUCUAGUUGUUGACCUGGAUGCUAUUUAUUUUGUAACAGUUUGUGAAAAUGUACAUUUACAUUUUAUGUACUCACCUGCCUGGUUGCUGUAUUUGAUGAUAAAAGUAGCCAGCCCCUCUAAAUAAUGUACAGUAUAAAUACAAAACUCAAAUGAAAACCUCCCAAGGCUUUACACUGCACUUGAAAUAGAACUCGGGCCCUUCCAUGGUCAGUGAGUUCGGUGUAUAUGACUGUGGCUACCUAUUUUCCACCGUCCACUCAAUCACUUUUUAACUUCGUCCUAAAACUCAUCUCAAGGCACUAGUCAUUAAUAUACAGGCCAGUGAUAAUUUAUAUUACCUAUAUUAAUAGGUAUUAUAGGUAAUGCCUAUAUUAAUAUACAGGCUAGUUUUGAAUUUUCCUGCCAUGUGGUCUCUAACUACUCCACCCUGCCUCUGUAGCACAGAAGCAGCAGGAGACCAUACCAGGACAAAUGAGCAUGGCUGUGUGAUGAUAAAAAUUGUUUUAAAAAAUAGGUGCCCCUAAUUUACGUUUACUCUUAAUCUAAAGUGUUAUUUGUUGUAAUUUAUGUUAAGGAAUCUGGGGCUCAGAGGGUUUAAGAUGUUUGUUCAGGUUCACAUAGUCA